CAUUCACGGAGAGUUUGAUCCUGGCUCAGGACGAACGCUGGCGGCGUGCUUAACACAUGCAAGUCGAACGAUGAAACCGCUUCGGUGGUGGAUUAGUGGCGAACGGGUGAGUAACACGUGGGCAAUCUGCCCUUCACUCUGGGACAAGCCCUGGAAACGGGGUCUAAUACCGGAUAACACUCUGUCCCGCAUGGGACGGGGUUGAAAGCUCCGGCGGUGAAGGAUGAGCCCGCGGCCUAUCAGCUUGUUGGUGGGGUAAUGGCCUACCAAGGCGACGACGGGUAGCCGGCCUGAGAGGGCGACCGGCCACACUGGGACUGAGACACGGCCCAGACUCCUACGGGAGGCAGCAGUGGGGAAUAUUGCACAAUGGGCGAAAGCCUGAUGCAGCGACGCCGCGUGAGGGAUGACGGCCUUCGGGUUGUAAACCUCUUUCAGCAGGGAAGAAGCGAAAGUGACGGUACCUGCAGAAGAAGCGCCGGCUAACUACGUGCCAGCAGCCGCGGUAAUACGUAGGGCGCAAGCGUUGUCCGGAAUUAUUGGGCGUAAAGAGCUCGUAGGCGGCUUGUCACGUCGGAUGUGAAAGC
Molecule: ribosomal RNA, 587 nt
Filed under: Streptomyces parvus
Lineage: Bacteria; Bacillati; Actinomycetota; Actinomycetes; Kitasatosporales; Streptomycetaceae
Description: bacterial SSU rRNA
Rfam family: Bacterial small subunit ribosomal RNA
Source: RNAcentral